Long non-coding RNA from Musca domestica (house fly), 432 nucleotides. RefSeq lists it as uncharacterized. Lineage: Eukaryota; Metazoa; Arthropoda; Insecta; Diptera; Muscidae. The record is from RefSeq and is a predicted model, not a curated record. The transcript has 2 exons.
GUUUUAGUUUUAGAAAAAAUUUCUCCCCACCUCAAACGUUCCAAUAUACCGGCUAUUAUCCAGCUUGCAACAACGCUUAGGUUUUUGGCUACGGGUGCAUUUCAAGGAGUUAUAGGUAGAUCAAUUGCCAAUGUAGAAACAUUAUUAAAAGCAGCUGGAAUGCAUGAUCUUGGUCUAUCUUUUUUAUUUAAAAUCGAAGUGGUCUGCUUUGAAGUUGAGGGUUUUACUUGGUGGACCUGAACUAUUCAGCAAAGCUGUCAAUUCCGUCCAUAGAGAAUCAACAACAACCUUAUCACCUUUUACAUAGCCCCUGGCAAUAUCGUGAUGUUUAUCCAUAAAAUUGAUAAAAAUUUUGUCCUGUUUAACGUUUCGGUGUUUGCCCCUAAAGUAUAAAAUAAAUUAAAUAAACAGUUUUUGACGAAAAUUUAGAAA